GAUGAACGCUGGCGGCGUGCCUAAUACAUGCAAGUCGAGCGAACGGACGAGAAGCUUGCUUCUCUGAUGUUAGCGGCGGACGGGUGAGUAACACGUGGAUAACCUACCUAUAAGACUGGGAUAACUUCGGGAAACCGGAGCUAAUACCGGAUGAUAUUCUGAACCGCAUGGUUCAAAAGUGAAAGACGGUCUUGCUGUCACUUAUAGAUGGAUCCGCGCUGCAUUAGCUAGUUGGUAAGGUAACGGCUUACCAAGGCAACGAUGCAUAGCCGACCUGAGAGGGUGAUCGGCCACACUGGAGCUGAGACGCGGUCCAGACUCCUGCGGGAGGCAGCAGUAGGGAAUCUUCCGCAAUGGGCGAAAGCCUGACGGAGCAACGCCACGUGAGUGAUGAAGGUCUUCGGAGCGUAAAACUCUGUUAUUAGGGAAGAACAUAUGUGUAAGUAACUGUGCACAUCUUGACGGUACCUAAUCAGAAAGCCACGGCUAACUACGUG
RNAcentral lists this ribosomal RNA (497 nucleotides) under uncultured bacterium. Its description in RNAcentral is "partial 16S ribosomal RNA". It matches the Rfam family "Bacterial small subunit ribosomal RNA", at positions 28 to 507 of the family's 1533-position model. The record is from RNAcentral.